UUCCGUUUUUUCCCUCAAUCUUUGAACUUCCCACAGAAAAUCAUCAACUUUCAAUUUUUCCUAAUUAUCCCAUGUCGGGUUUUCCGGCCAAUUUCGAGUACACGUGGAACCGGAAUUAAAUGACGUGGAAUCGCCGGAUUCUUAACAAAACGACGCAGUAUCUAAGAAUUCCUUCCAAAUCUUGCAAGGAUUGAAGAAAAUAUCUUGGGCGUUUGCUUUAACUGAAGAAUCCGCAGCUCUAGCAUGGGGCUCAAUCGAUCUUCCGGCAGCUCGACCUCAAAAUAUGAUUUUGAGAGAAAUCAAGAGAAGAUGUGUAUGUGCAAGGUUCCUGCCGUGAUUUUGACGUCGAGGACGACGACAAAUCCGUUUCGGCGUUAUUAUUGUUGUCGGUACCAUCAUCAGGAAAUGGACUGCCGAUUUUUUGAUUGGAUUGAUCCAGAAAUGUCCACAUUCCAGAGAGGGUGUGUCAACAAAGUUCGACGUGAAAGAGAAAUUGCAGAGGAACAAAUCGAAGUAUUGCAGAAUGAAUUCAAAAAACUGAAAUGCCAUAACAAGCGGCUGAAACUGAUCAUGAUUUGUAUCAUCGUUUAUUGGGCAAUAGCAUGGAUGUAGUUUGUUGAAUUCUUAAGUUUUUUUCACCUG
This is an RNA transcript of Salvia miltiorrhiza (redroot sage), 642 nucleotides long. RefSeq lists it as uncharacterized. Lineage: Eukaryota; Viridiplantae; Streptophyta; Magnoliopsida; Lamiales; Lamiaceae. The transcript has 3 exons. The record is from RefSeq and is a predicted model, not a curated record.